AUUGAGUCUCAUUGCUACCCUUUUGCUCCAGAGAGGCAAACUCAUCUCACCAUGUGCAAAUCUCUGUGUUUCCUUGCUCUCCUCAGUUACUUCUCAGGUAAGUGUGUAGUGAAUUCACUUUCACAGCAGCCCAAAGGUCAGAAAACUAGCCUAGCUGUAUUGUGCUAUUGCCCUACGACUGGACCGUAGCACCUAAAAGAUUUUCCCAUCACUUCCAAUGGACCUCUGUGCUCUGCAGGACAGGGACUCCAGCUGGUCUGUAUACAUAGGAACAGGGUCUUCCGUGUGGUGGCACCUAAACUUUGAAUUUCCCUCCUGCUAAAUAUUAAGGGCCAUCUCAGUUGUCUGCUUGAUCUCCCUCUUCCAACAAGCCUUUCUGUCUGUGCUAGAUAGAUAGACUUUGUGCAUGUGUAUGAAAUUGUUUUAACUGUUUGGAUAUGAAUUUCUAAAGUGGUUUUUAUCGCUGCUGGUUUUUUUAAUUGUUAAAUCACUUUGAGACACCGUAUUGGCCUGAAUAUAAGCCUCACUCCCCCCCCCCCCCCAAUUCCAACCGUGAAAAGUUAAAGUGCGACUUAAAUUCACGACCUUACAAAAAUGGGCUUUUACGAUAUCGCUGCUGAAACAGACAUAUGGUAAAAUGGAACAGGUGUGAGUGCCUGCAGAAUUUUAAAGGAGCGGCUUAUAUUUGGGCCAAUAUGGUAUGUUAUAGGAAUUGGUGUGCAAAUGGAAGGAAAUAAACAAAUACCUGCUUUUCUGAUAUUCGGCAGCACAUAAAAUAUAUUGAGCUUAUAUUAUUUGUGUUUGUUUGUUUGUUUGUUUGUUUGUUUGUUGCAAAGGGGUCAUUUCCCAGUCACCUUGGACUCAGCCCACCUCCGAGUCUAUAUCCCCAGGACAAACGGCUAAACUCUCUUGCACCGUCAGUGGUACCGUGAAUACUAUUUACUGGUAUCAACAGAGAUCUGGACAAGUCCCUCGCUAUGUGCAUUAUGCUGGCGGCAGCAGGGGAGAAGGGAUUCCCAGUCGUUUCACGGCUUCUGUCUCUGGGAAUGUUGGCUAUUUAACAAUCAGUAACAUUCAGGCUGAAGAUGAAGCAGUUUACUAUUGUAACAUGUGGUCUAGCAGUGCCAGCUCGUU
This is a non-coding RNA of Podarcis lilfordi (Lilford's wall lizard), 1134 nucleotides long. Lineage: Eukaryota; Metazoa; Chordata; Lepidosauria; Squamata; Lacertidae. The record is from the annotation of a GenBank genome assembly.